Molecule: long non-coding RNA, 950 nt
Organism: Nicotiana tabacum (common tobacco)
Lineage: Eukaryota; Viridiplantae; Streptophyta; Magnoliopsida; Solanales; Solanaceae
Source: RefSeq, a predicted model, not a curated record
ACCACCCUCAUUUUUCUUAUAUACUCCCUUACUCAUCCUCUAAAACGGAGAUCGGAUCCCUCACCCUAAAAAAAAACGCUAGCCAGCCGCCCCUCUAUUUCUUUUCUCUCCAUCACUCAAGCCCAUUCUCAUCUCACUAUCAUUUUACGCACACGAAUCUAUCAUCUGUUAUUCUCACAAACACACACGAGAUGGCUGAAAAAAUAGGUCUGAAACUCGAAAAUUAAAAAGAGGUCUGAAAACAAAAAGAAAAUUAGUGGAUUUCAACGGAUUUUACAUGGGAAAUGAUUCAAAGGUCUGGAGUUUCUUUUAUUUUUGGUUGAUUUGAGAGAGUUCUCCAUUUGUUCAUGGGUUUGCAAAUCUAGAGUGAAUCUGCAUUAUCUCCCCACUUUCUGGGUGUUCCAGUUUGAUUUCGGAUUCAGAAAUUGAAGCUGCGUUUUGUUGAUUUUUGCUGUUGCUGAGCUCCGAUUUACUGAUUUCCAGCACUUAUGGAGGUUGAUUGAAUACUGUUGGGUUUGCGGUGCCGAUUCGAAGUCCGUUCGUGGUUCGUAUCGUGUUUCUGUUGCCGUUUUAAACUCCGGACGUAGAUUCGUCUCGCUCGUAUAACUGCUGAAAUUUCUGUCAAUUAAAUCUUCUCAUUCAGGUCAAUGUCAGAUGUGAAAGAUAAAGCGACGCCGAGGUCGAAAUAGCUUGGCAGAAGACGAGAACGAUGACGAGCAUCCAUCCUUAGUAUGAAGUGAAGACAAGUCUUAGGAUUUAGAUUCCCUAGAGAAUUUUCUAAUGGAUAUUUCCUUCCGAUGUACUAUCUAAGGUUUUGUGGGUCACGUGCUCUUAUAAAUAGGAAGAGAUGGAGGUUAGAAAGGGGAUUGGACCUAUUGUAAAGAAAUUCAUCAACAUUCUCUGUGUACAAGAUUCUCAUUAAUAGAAACAAAGCUUGACUUUACACUCUC